This is a non-coding RNA of Pelobates cultripes (western spadefoot toad), 623 nucleotides long. Lineage: Eukaryota; Metazoa; Chordata; Amphibia; Anura; Pelobatidae. The record is from the annotation of a GenBank genome assembly.
ACCCAAAGAUACUGAACAAACAUAGGAACAAUGAUUAUGACGGUAACAGGAAUAAAACUUCCCCAUACCCCACACACUCUGCUAUUCCUGUUGCUACCCCACACCCUCACCAACACGCAGAAAAGACUUGUAACCCAUCUCCUCACAGCAGCCAACAUCCUCAUUCCAGUAAAAUGGAAAAAUCUCAAUACCCCGACGAUCAGAGAAUGGAUUCACAGAGUAGACGCGCUUAAAAUAAUGGAAAACAUACAAGCCUCUGUUACCCACAAAUUGUCCCUCUUCCAAGAGGUGUGGGAGCCGUGGACAAGAUUCUUGUCAAAAUCUAACAUUGCCCCAUGACACCUCAACCUAGAACCCCUCCACUCCCCACCAGUUCACAAGACAGUUAGAAUGCCAACUGCCUGAAUACUCCCUUUGAUCUCCUCUUGAUCUCCUCUCAGACUUCCCCUCCCCAUCCCUUCCGUCCCCCCCCUUUCACCCUCUCCUCUCCCCCCUGCUCCUCCCUUUCUCUCUUUUUGCGAUAAAACUCACAGACUCUUAACUCACAGACAGACACAGGUAACUACUAGCUGCUUAACACAAAGAGCCGAUACCACCCGCCCACUACUAAUCGACUCCUGACU